GACUUAUAUAUCGGUGAGAUCGGUGACACGUCGGUUCCGAUGGACGCCGUUCCGCCUCGGUGCCGUUACGGAAAGUCAAGGAGAAAGCCUCGCCGUUCACGGCGGGGAUGAAUCCGACAACACGGCC
RNAcentral lists this unclassified non-coding RNA (127 nucleotides) under Natronobacterium haloterrestre. RNAcentral describes it as "Halobiforma haloterrestris HgcC family RNA". Lineage: Archaea; Methanobacteriati; Methanobacteriota; Halobacteria; Halobacteriales; Natrialbaceae. The record is from RNAcentral.